CGGCCCCUUUGACCGAAACAGGACGCUUGCCUCGAUUCAGAUCGGCCCGCCGAUGGCGUCGACGGCGGCUUUCGAGAAGGAUUGCCGGAUGCCGGAGGAGGCAGAGGCCGAUGCGCUGCUGGUACAGAAGGUGGGCGUGCUGCCCUUCGGGUUCUACGACGCCUUCGUGCUCCGCGACAUCCGCGUCCACGCCGUCUGGCCCAGCCGCCUCCUCUGCCACUUCACCGUCACCACCCGCCUCCUCAACUCGGGCAACUUCCUGCAAGGGGCGUGACUGCAUUGUUGGUUUACUUGAUGGGCUCUGCUGUACACCGCUGGGUCACAAACCAGGGUCUCACCACUAGAGAUGAACAUCUACCUUGAUACUGCAUUUUCUGAUGUGAGUGACUAUCUUACUCAGUCGGAAUUGGAUGCGAAAUAAUACAUGUGGUGGUUCAUCAGCAUCACUUCUCAAGGUUGGUCUGUCAUGCUUAAAGCGGAUAUAGUGACUAGUUUGUUAUGUGCUUUGCAGGUUAGUCAUAUGGUUUGUAUAAUGGACCUAUAGCUCGUUCUUGUCUUUUUCAGGUUCAGAAAUCAGCGCAUUAUUAGUUGCUUCACUAUAUGCUUUGAUAUCCAGGUUACAACUAGGAUUUUCAUAUGUAUGUAUAUCACUUAUCACAUAGUAGAACAGUAUUCCUUUUUCUAGCAGAGGAGAAUAAUUUUCAGUGUUAAUUUGGUUGGGUACAGACCAUCAACCAAAAAAGCUCAAAACGUUUUGCCCAUAUAUAGAAUAACUCAAGUCUUGCUAGAACUAGAUAAGAAACAUACUAAUUAAUUGUUCGCAAAAACAGUUUCUUCUUUGUUGCAUAAGGACUGUGCAAGAAUUUGGAUUAAGACAUGUCUAAGCUACAGGAAAUAGUAUAAAAUGUUAUUUAGUCUAAAAUGAUUCACAUGCAAUUUUUUUCAUAUGUGCUACUAUCCUUUUGAGCAAAUUCAUUUAUAUGUACUACUAAUAAAUCAUUCCUGUC
This is a long non-coding RNA of Triticum aestivum (bread wheat), 1007 nucleotides long. RefSeq lists it as uncharacterized. NCBI's taxonomy places the organism in Eukaryota, Viridiplantae, Streptophyta, Magnoliopsida, Poales, Poaceae. The transcript is spliced from 3 exons. The record is from RefSeq and is a predicted model, not a curated record.